Long non-coding RNA from Anolis carolinensis (green anole), 2347 nucleotides. The record is from Ensembl. NCBI's taxonomy places the organism in Eukaryota, Metazoa, Chordata, Lepidosauria, Squamata, Anolidae.
CGCCCGUUGUGCAGCCAUGAUGGACGACGAAGACGCCCUGAGCGAGCGGGGCAUCAACGCCUCCAGGAUGAGAUACGACGACGAAGAAGACUUCCACUCCAUCUACAUCGGGGUCCCUGUCCCUCGCGGAUACCGGAGGAAGCGGCGCCGGAGGCGGUCAGUGUCCAGCCGGGACAAGGUCACAGAGAGCGAGAGGCACUACGAGCGGCAGGACCGGUCCGACACGGACGAGGGCGGGCGCAUGGGCUACGAGAACGGGAACGACAGUGCCAGCCGGACCAGUGAGUGGGGCCGGGGGUGGGGCGGGCCCACAUCGGGCAACACUUGGGACCUUUGCGGUUGUCCAAAGCCUUUCCGGCCUUGUAUGGAUUGCCUUUUAUUCCUCACUUUCCCAGCUGAACGUUAGGAAGCACUUCCUAAUCAAAGAGCUGCCCAACAGUGGAACUCUCUGCCUCAGGCCUCUUCCACACAGCUGCAUAAAAUCCACACUGAACUGGAUUAUAUGACAGUGUGGACUCAGACAGCCUGGUUCAAAGCACAUAUUGUGGAUUACCUGCCUUGAUAUUCUGGAUUGUAUGGAAGGGCUCUCAGAGUCUGGUGGAGGCUCCUCCUUUGGAUGGCUGGAUGGCCAUCUGUCAGGAAGGUUUUGGUUGUGCCUUUCCAGCCUGGCAGAAUAAAGGGGGUUGGACGGCAUGGCCCUCUUUGGGGUCUCUUUCCAACUCCAGGUUUCCAUGACGCAGUAUACAAGGAAGGAAAGAAACAAAAAAAAGCAACAAGCUAGCCAUUGGCAAUAAAUUUGUGAAGAAAUAAGUAAUAAUUAAAAGAAAAACAAAUUAAUAACAAUAAUAAAAAGAUACCCAAAGCAACUAACAAUGCUAAUAAUGAUGCAUUAUUAUUAUUGUUGUUGUUGUUAUUGUUGUUGCAACAUCUACUAAUCCCCAUGGGUGCCAUGGGUUAAGUGAGAAUCUAACUACGUCUUCCUUAUUAUUAUUGUUAUUCCUAUUAUUAUUAUUAUUAUUAUUAUUAUUAUUAUUAUUAUUGUUGUUGUUGUUGAUCAAACAUCUACCAUGGGUUAACUGAGAGGCUAUAGUAUUAUUAUGAUUACUCCAACAUCUACCAAUCUGCAUGAGUACCAUUUGACUGAGAGUUUACAUAAUCAUUAUUAUUGUUGUUAUUCCUAUUAUUAUUUAUUCAAUGUUUACCAAACCUCAUGGGUGCCAUGGGUCAACUGAAAAGCUAUUGUAUUAUUAUUAUUAUUAUUAUUAUUAUUAUUAUUAUUAUUAUGAUACAGCAAACAAGAUAGAUAUGCUGGAUUUCAUAUCACAAAAUCUCAAGUCGAACACUUCCCAAGUGUCUAGGACUGUCUGUGUGAUGUAUUUUCGGAUGAUGCGUGCAGAUCCCAGUAGGGUGGCCUUUUGCAGUUGGCAGAUGGUGAUUUUGUCAAUGUCUAUUGUUUCCAAAUGCCGGCUGAGAUCUUUUGGCACGGCACCCAAUGUGCCGAUCACCCCCGGGACCACCUGCACUGGUUUCUGCCAGAGUCUUUGAAGUUCAAUCUUGAGGUCCUGAGAGCGGCUGAGUUUUUCCUGUUGUUUUUCGUCAAUGCGACUGUCACCUGGGAUGGCAACAUCAAUGAUCCAAACCUUUUUCUUUUCCACAACUGUGAUGUCUGGUGUGUUGUGUUCCAGAACUUUGUCAGUCUGGAUCUGGAAGUCCCACAGUAUCUUUGCGUGCUCAUUUUCCAAUACUUUUGCAGGUUUGUGAUCCCACCAGUUCUUUGCUGCUGGGAGGUGGUACUUGAGGCAUAAGUUCCAAUGAAUCAUUUGGGCCAUAUAGUUGUGCCUCUGUUUGUAGUCUGUCUGUGCAAUUAUUAUUAUUAUUAUUAUUAUUAUUAUUAUUAUUAUUAUUAUUAUUAUUACUACUGCUGCUGCUGCUGCUGCUGCUGCUGUUAUGACUACCAUUCCUCCCCUGCAGUUGGAAAUCAGAACUAAGUAUUGAUGGGAGAUAUUAAGGGAGAAUUUUUAAAAUAAACCAGUCACAGAAGAAGGAAGGAAGGAAGGAGAGAAGAAAGGAGAGAAGAAAGAAAGGGAAAUACUAUGACAGAAGGGAGGGAGGGAGGAAAAAGAGAAGGAAGGAAAGAAAGAAAAAGGGAAGGAAGGAAGGAAAGAAAAAGGGAAGGAAGGAAGGAGAGAAGAAAGGAGAGAAGAAAGAAAGGCAAGAAGGGAGGGAGGAAGGAAGGAAGGAAGGCUUCUCAGUCUGAUGGCAGGUUGCCUGAUGCCAGCGGUGGAGACGGGUUCUGUCCUCCGUCUCUCCUUUUUCUAGCCGGACUUCAACAGAGUGGCCUUGGCCC